Molecule: small nucleolar RNA, 114 nt
Organism: Lampris incognitus (smalleye Pacific opah)
Lineage: Eukaryota; Metazoa; Chordata; Actinopteri; Lampriformes; Lampridae
Product: small nucleolar RNA SNORD67
Exons: 1
Source: RefSeq, a predicted model, not a curated record
UGUGAGAGUGAUGAGUUGCACUGUCUAGUCGGAACAUUGGUUGCAGUGGCACCAAUGUCCCGAUCUGACCCUUGUUGGGGACACACCAUGUGCACAGGGGCCAUCUGACCCACC